Molecule: ribosomal RNA, 428 nt
Filed under: Bacteroidota bacterium
Lineage: Bacteria; Pseudomonadati; Bacteroidota
Description: Bacteroidetes bacterium partial 16S ribosomal RNA
Rfam family: Bacterial small subunit ribosomal RNA
Source: RNAcentral
UAGGGAAUCUUCCGCAAUGGGCGAAAGCUUGACGGAGCAACGCCGCGUGAGUGAUGAAGGUCUUCGGAUCGUAAAACUCUGUUAUUAGGGAAGAACAAAUGUGUAAGUAACUAUGCACGUCUUGACGGUACCUAAUCAGAAAGCCACGGCUAACUACGUGCCAGCAGCCGCGGUAAUACGUAGGUCCCGAGCGUUGUCCGGAUUUAUUGGGCGUAAAGCGAGCGCAGGCGGUUAGAUAAGUCUGAAGUUAAAGGCAGUGGCUCAACCAUUGUAGGCUUUGGAAACUGUUUAACUUGAGUGCAGAAGGGGAGAGUGGAAUUCCAUGUGUAGCGGUGAAAUGCGUAGAUAUAUGGAGGAACACCGGUGGCGAAAGCGGCUCUCUGGUCUGUAACUGACGCUGAGGCUCGAAAGCGUGGGGAGCGAACAGG